RNAcentral lists this long non-coding RNA (490 nucleotides) under Theobroma cacao (cacao). RNAcentral describes it as "long non-coding RNA (TCAC_LNC001787)". Lineage: Eukaryota; Viridiplantae; Streptophyta; Magnoliopsida; Malvales; Malvaceae. The record is from RNAcentral.
CCAGUGAGUAAAUAAUUACCAUCAAAAGCAUCUAAAGCCGAGUAGAUGGAGACAAUAUAAAAACGUUAUAUCUCAAUAAUGUUCAUAACAUAAAAUUCGUUUCAAUCUAUACCAAACAAUUUCUUUUCAUCAAAAUUUUUCGGCUUAUGAAUUUCUUAAACUUGGCCCCUGCCAGAAUCAUUCUCGCGGGUACCUUCGUCAAGGUAUCCCACUGAGACCGCCAAGGCUGUUCAAUGACCCAUACCCAUAAACAUGUUUUCACAUCUGACACACAGCCGUUCCUUGGCGUUGGCUGAGUCUCACUCUCACGUGGUGGCCCGAACGUGAGGUGCACUCAAAUCAUACCUCAGGAGAUACUUCACCCAACAUCUCCCCCCGGAGGUAAGUAUAUAAUUGAGUUACCGUGCCCCUCUCAUAGGCAGUCCACGGAAACCCCCACCACUGCAGUGACCGUUUAAUAUACCACCAGACCCAUAAAAUUUUCAGUAGC